RNAcentral lists this ribosomal RNA (772 nucleotides) under Candidatus Williamhamiltonella defendens. RNAcentral's name for it is "bacterial SSU rRNA". It matches the Rfam family "Bacterial small subunit ribosomal RNA", at positions 749 to 1520 of the family's 1533-position model. Lineage: Bacteria; Pseudomonadati; Pseudomonadota; Gammaproteobacteria; Enterobacterales; Enterobacteriaceae. The record is from RNAcentral.
UGGUGCGAAAGCGUGGGGAGCAAACAGGAUUAGAUACCCUGGUAGUCCACGCUGUAAACGAUGUCGAUUUGGAGGUUGCGGUCUUGAACUGUGGCGUCCGGAGCUAACGCGUUAAAUCGACCGCCUGGGGAGUACGGCCGCAAGGUUAAAACUCAAAUGAAUUGACGGGGGCCCGCACAAGCGGUGGAGCAUGUGGUUUAAUUCGAUGCAACGCGAAGAACCUUACCUACUCUUGACAUCCACGGAAUUGUGCAGAGAUGCGCAAGUGCCUUCGGGAACCGUGAGACAGGUGCUGCAUGGCUGUCGUCAGCUCGUGUUGUGAAAUGUUGGGUUAAGUCCCGCAACGAGCGCAACCCUCGUCCUUUGUUGCCAGCGCGUAGAGGCGGGAACUCAAAGGAGACUGCCGGUGAUAAACCGUAGGAAGGUGGGGACGACGUCAAGUCAUCAUGGCCCUUACGAGUAGGGCUACACACGUGCUACAAUGGCGUAUACAAAGGGAUGCGAACCUGCGAGGGAAAGCGGAACUCAGAAAGUACGUCGUAGUCCGGAUUGGAGUCUGCAACUCGACUCCAUGAAGUCGGAAUCGCUAGUAAUCGUAGAUCAGAAUGCUACGGUGAAUACGUUCCCGGGCCUUGUACACACCGCCCGUCACACCAUGGGAGUGGGUUGCAAAAGAAGUAGGUAGCUUAACCGCAAGGAGGGCGCUUACCACUUUGUGAUUCAUGACUGGGGUGAAGUCGUAACAAGGUAACCGUAGGGGAACCUGCGGUUG